Molecule: non-coding RNA, 412 nt
Organism: Paramuricea clavata
Lineage: Eukaryota; Metazoa; Cnidaria; Anthozoa; Malacalcyonacea; Plexauridae
Source: the annotation of a GenBank genome assembly
AUGUGUCGAAAAUGCACGACAUAACAUUUCCCACACCCCAAAAUAGAAACAUUUUCCAGACCCCCGGACAAUCAAGCCUCCCCAUUCGUUUGGGACUGGCUACGCCCCUAAAAAACACACUAGGAUGCUGCCGAUGAUCCUGAAUCGGUGAUGCGCGGAAACCGAACAUUACAAAUGUGACGGUUUGAGAAGAACUGCCAUUACGUAGUGUCCAAGAAAAUGGCCAAGACAAAUUUGCUCGUCCAUGACAACGCCAAUUUCAGUGGCAUUUAUGUAAUUAUUUUGCUUGAUUUAAUCAGUGCAAAUCGUUCUCGUUUAAUAACAAUAAUUAUAUUCUUGCAGCGAUAAAGAACGCAUUUAUUAUUAAUACAUGAAUCAUGCAUAACCACUCUAGAACAAUCACAAAUGUCAC